UUAAUGGGGGUAGAUCUGGUAUCCAAAGUUUCCCAUUGACUUCAAUGGGGGUNAACCCUUACUGGUUUAUACUGGGAAUGGGUUGGGGUGCACGAACCCUUACUGGUUUAUACUGGGAAUGGGUUGGGGUGCACAAACCCUUACUGGUUUAUACUGGGAAUGGGUUUGGGUGCACGAACCCUUACUGGUUUAUACUGGGAGUUGCUGCCAUGGCUCUCAGUGGCUCAUGGGCGGCUCCCAGUCCUUACUGGUUUAUACUGGUGCCCUCCCAGUAUAAACCUGCUCAACCUGGGAUCCACUAGACCAUACUGGGGAUGGGUUGGGUGCACGAACCCUUACUGGUUUAUACUGGGAUUUGCUGCCAUGGCUCUCAGUGACUCAUGGGCGGCUCCCAGUCCUUACUGGUUUGUACUGGUGCCCUCCCAGUAUAAACCUGGUCCAUCUAGGAUCCACUAGACCACAUUGGAAUGCCCUAGACCAUACUGGGAAUGGGUUUGGGUGCACGAACCCUUACUGGUUUAUACUGGGAGAUGCCACCACAGCCCUCAGGGACUCAUGGGUGGCUCCCAGUCCUUACUGGUUUGUACUGGUGCCCUCCCAGUAUAAACUGGGAUCCCUUAGACCAUACUGGGAAUGGGUUUGGGUGCACGAACCCUUACUGGUUUAUACUGGGAGCUGCCACCACAGCCCUCAGGAGCUCAGGGGUGGUUCCCAGUCCUUACUGGUUUGUACUGGUGCCCUCCCAGUAUGAACCUGCUCAACCUGGGAUACCUUAGACCAUACUGGGAAUGGGUUUGGGUGCACGAACCCUUACUGGUUUAUACUGGGAAUGGGUUUGGGGUGCACGAACCCUUACUGGUUUAUACUGGGAAUGGGUUUGGGUGCACGAACCCUUACUGGUUUAUACUGGGAAUGGGUUUGGGUGCACAAACCCUUACUGGUUUAUACUGGGAUUUGCCGCCAUGGCUCUCAGUGGCUCAUGGGCGGCUCCCAGUCCUUACUGGUUUAUACUGGUGCCCUCCCAGUAUGAAACUGGUCAACCUGGGAUCCCAUAGACCAUACUGGGAAUGGGUUUGGGUGCACGAAGCCUUACUGGUUUAUACUGGGAUUUGCUGCUAUGGCUCUCAGUGGCUCAUGGGCGGCUCCCAGUCCUUACUGGUUUGUACUGGGAAUGAGUUUGGGCGCACGAACCCUUACUGGUUUAUACUGGGAGCUGCCACCACAGGCUUUAGGGACUCAUGGGUGGCUCCCAGUCCUUACUGGUUUGUACUGGUGCCCUCCCAGUAUAAACCUGCUCAACCUGGGAUCCCAUAGACCAUACUGGGAAUGGGUUUGGGUGCACGAACCCUUACUGGUUUAUACUGGGAGCUGCUGUUGCAGGCUUUAGCAGCUCAGGGGUGGCUCCCAGUCCUUACUGGUUUGUACUGGUGCCCUCCCAGUAUAAACUGGGAGCCCAUAGACCAUACUGGGAGUCCCUAGGCCAUACUGGGAAUGGGUUGGGGUGCACAAACCCUUACUGGUUUAUACUGGGAGCUGCUGUUACAAGCCUCAGUGGCUCAUGGGUGGCUCCCAGUCCUUACUGGUUUGUACUGGUGCCCUCCCAGUAUAAACCUGGGAUCCCUUAGACCAUACUGGGAAUGGGUUUGGGUGCACAAACCCUUACUGGUUUAUACUGGGAGCUGCCACCACAGCCCUCAGGAGCUCAGGGGUGGUUCCCAGUCCUUACUGGUUUAUACUGGUGCCCUCCCAGUAUGAAACUGGUCAAUCUGGGAUCCCUUAUACCAUACUGGGAUCCCUUAGACCAUACUGGGAAUGGGUUUGGGUGCACGAACCCUUACUGGUUUGUACUGGGAGUUGCCGCUAUGGCUCUCAGUGGCUCAGGGGUGGCUCCCA
Long non-coding RNA from Zonotrichia albicollis (white-throated sparrow), 1893 nucleotides. The record is from Ensembl. NCBI's taxonomy places the organism in Eukaryota, Metazoa, Chordata, Aves, Passeriformes, Passerellidae.